AGCAGUCGCCGCGGUAAUACAGAGGGUGCGAGCGUUAAUCGGAUUUACUGGGCGUAAAGCGUGCGUAGGCGGCUUCUUAAGUCGGAUGUGAAAUCCCUGAGCUUAACUUAGGAAUUGCAUUCGAUACUGGGAAGCUAGAGUAUGGGAGAGGAUGGUAGAAUUCCAGGUGUAGCGGUGAAAUGCGUAGAGAUCUGGAGGAAUACCGAUGGCGAAGGCAGCCAUCUGGCCUAAUACUGACGCUGAGGUACGAAAGCAUGGGGAGCAAACAGGAUUAGAUACCCCUGUAGUCCCUGUCUUUUAUAC
This 303-nucleotide ribosomal RNA is filed under the name uncultured bacterium. Its description in RNAcentral is "partial 16S ribosomal RNA". It matches the Rfam family "Bacterial small subunit ribosomal RNA", at positions 507 to 809 of the family's 1533-position model. The record is from RNAcentral.